GCAGAGAGGCCACACCCGUUCCCAUACCGAACACGGAAGUUAAGCUCUCUAGCGCCGAUGGUAGUUGGGACCUUGUCCCUGUGAGAGUAGGAC
RNAcentral lists this ribosomal RNA (93 nucleotides) under Bacillus wiedmannii. Lineage: Bacteria; Bacillati; Bacillota; Bacilli; Caryophanales; Bacillaceae. The record is from RNAcentral.